Molecule: ribosomal RNA, 545 nt
Filed under: uncultured bacterium
Lineage: Bacteria
Description: bacterial SSU rRNA
Rfam family: Bacterial small subunit ribosomal RNA
Source: RNAcentral
UUGCGANUGGGCGAAGCCUGACGCAGCGACGCCGCGUGGGGGAUGAAGCUUUUCGGAGCGUAAACCCCUUUCGACCCGGAAGAAAGCCCGCAAGGGUCUGACGGUACGGGUAUAAGAAGCCCCGGCUAACUACGUGCCAGCAGCCGCGGUAAAACGUAGGGGGCCAGCGUUGCUCGGAAUUACUGGGCGUAAAGGGUCUGUAGGCGGUGCGGCAAGUCGGAAGUGAAAUUCCAGGGCUUAACUCUGGGGCUGCUUCCGAAACUGCUGUGCUCGAGUGUGAGAUAGGCGAGUGGAAUUGCAGGUGUAGCGGUGAAAUGCGUAGAUAUCUGCAGGAACAUCCGAGGCGAAAGCGGCUCGCCGGAUCACAACUGACGCUGAGAGACGAAAGCUAGGGGAGCAAACAGGAUUAGAUACCCUGGUAGUCCUAGCCCUAAACGAUCAGGACUUGGCGUGAGCCCUGUACGGGGCUCGUGCCGUAGCUAACGCGAUAAGUCCUGCGCCUGGGGAGUACGGUCGCAAGGCUAAAACUCAAAGAAAUUGACGGA